UACGUAGGGGGCAAGCGUUGUCCGGAUUUAUUGGGCGUAAAGCGCGUGUAGGCGGCCAGGUAGGUCGGCUGUGAAAACUCGAGGCUCAACCUCGAGACGCCGGUGGAAACCAUCUAGCUAGAGACCGGAAGAGGAGAGUGGAAUUCCUGGUGUAGCGGUGAAAUGCGCAGAUAUCAGGAGGAACACCAAUGGCGAAGGCAGCACUCUGGGACGUGACUGACGCUGAGACGCGAAAGCGUGGGGAGCAAACAGG
RNAcentral lists this ribosomal RNA (253 nucleotides) under uncultured bacterium. RNAcentral describes it as "partial 16S ribosomal RNA". It matches the Rfam family "Bacterial small subunit ribosomal RNA", at positions 524 to 776 of the family's 1533-position model. The record is from RNAcentral.